This 1969-nucleotide ribosomal RNA is filed under the name Otitesella tsamvi. Its description in RNAcentral is "eukaryotic LSU rRNA". It matches the Rfam family "Eukaryotic large subunit ribosomal RNA", at positions 989 to 2824 of the family's 3401-position model. The record is from RNAcentral. Lineage: Eukaryota; Metazoa; Arthropoda; Insecta; Hymenoptera; Pteromalidae.
UAAAAUAACCAUUUAAACCUGUUACAGUCUCAAUAGAAGGUAACGGGGCGUUAAUUGACCUUGUCCUUUUCUUAAACUCGGUCAAUGGGUUUUAAAGUUGCAUACUAAUAGUAUGUAAAUUUUGUUUAAUGGUAACGCUUAGUGGGCCAUUUUUGGUAAGCAGAACUGGCGAUGCGGGAUGAACCGUACACAGAGUUAAGGUGCCAAAGUUUAAUACGCUAAUUAGAUCCCACUAAAGAUGUUGUUCGCUUAAGACAGUAGGGCGGUGGCCAUGGAAGUCGGCAUCCGCUAAGGAGUGUGUAACAACUCACCUACCGAAGCGUUCAACUCUGAAAAUGGAUGGCGCUUAAGCGUUACACUGAUACUCUGUCGUAGUAGUAAAUCCGUAAGAAUGCAUAUUGCAAUGGAACAUUGUUUAAUAUGUAGAUUAAACUUCUACGAGUAGGAGGAAUGUGGUGAUAGCGUUGAAGUUUUGCGCGUAAGCGCGAAUGGAGCUAUUGCUAGUACAGAUCUUGGUGGUAGUAGCAAACAAACAAGUGACAACCUUGUUGACCGACGUGGAUACGGGUUUCAUGGGAACAGUAAUUGGCCAUGAGUUAGUCGAUCCUGAGGAGUGACGUGAAGGCGUUUUCGUAAGAAGUAUCUCUUGUUAGAUACACUCCGAAAGGGAAUGAGGUUAAUAUUCCUCAACCUUGAUUAUGCAUAUUUUAAAGCGGUAACGCAAUCGAACUCAGAGACAUCUGCCAAAGUCCUGGGUAGAGAUAUCUUCUCUACCUUAAGGUGUGCUAAGUGCCUUGAAUCAGUUUAGCUGGAGACAGGCAUAGAUGCGCCGAAUAGCAUCGCGCUUCAAGUGAUGUGUACAGUGUACUUUGGUUGAUCCUUGAAAAUCUGGGUGAGUAUUAUUAAGGCAUGACAAGAUCGUACCUAGUUCCGCAACAGGUAUCCUAGGUGAACAGCCUCUGGUCUAUUAGAAGAAUGUAGGUAAGGGAAGUCGGCAAACCUGAUCUGUAUCUUUGGUACAAAGGUUGGCUCUGGCGUGUUUGCUUGAUGUGGUGUAGUAAGUACGCCGGAAUAGUAUGCGGAGACUGAUAGUUGGCGCAAGCUGAUUGUUGGACUUUGUGUAUAGUUCUUGCCGAAAGCUGCAUUGUGUCUUGCAAUUAAAACAAUUAGUCAGAACUAUCAUUGACUGUUCGGAAUCUGACUGUUUAAUUAAAACAUAGCAUUGAGAUGACCGGUGACCCGGUGUUGACUCAAUGUGAAUUCUGCCCAGUGCUCUGAAUGUCAACGUGUAGAAAUUCAAUGAAGCGCGGGUAAACGGCGGGAGUAACUAUGACUCUCUUAAGGUAGCCAAAUGCCUCGUCAUCUAAUUAGUGACGUGCAUGAAUGGAUUAACGAGAUUCCAUCUGUCCCUACUUACUAUCUAGCGAAACCACAGCCAAGGGAACGGGCUUGGCGAAAUCAGCGGGGAAAGAAGACCCUGUUGAGCUUGACUCUAGUCUGGCAUUGUGAGGAAACUGUAUCUGGUAUAGCUUAGGUGGGAGGCAAGGUAACUUGUCGUUAUCAACUGUAAAACCACCACAGUACAGCACCACUCACUGACUUAAUUAUGAGGCUUACUUUGUCAUUUUUUUUAUUAAAAAUGGCAAAGGAAACUUUGUAAUUGCAAAUUAAGCCGGUGCGGUAAGAUUAAGUUCGCUUAGUUUUACGUAUCGUACCGUCGAGGCAUUAUUUAAGGACAGUGCCAGGCGGGGAGUUUGACUGGGGCGGUACAUCUAUCAAAUGCUAACGUAGGUGUCCUAAUGUUAGCUCAGUGAGACCAGAAAUCUCACGUAGAAUAUAAGGGUACAAGCUAGCUUGAUUCUGAAUAUCAGUGCGAUUGCGAGACAAGAAAUUGUGGCCUAACGAUCCUUUUGAAAAGCGAAAUAUUAUCAAUGCAUAAUGCAAGAGGUGUCAGAAAAGUUACCACAGG